Long non-coding RNA from Dermacentor albipictus, 874 nucleotides. RefSeq lists it as uncharacterized. NCBI's taxonomy places the organism in Eukaryota, Metazoa, Arthropoda, Arachnida, Ixodida, Ixodidae. The record is from RefSeq and is a predicted model, not a curated record.
CAACAUAGCUGUUUAUAGUAGGGGUACGGCACUGCGCAUGCGCAGUACCGUGGCCCCCAGGCGCUCGACGGUACUCUCCUCGCCCUCAUAAUUAGGCGGGGUUUGCUUUACACUACCCGUCGCCAGGAGCCUCACAGAGCCGAGCCAGGUAUAUGCCAUCUGAGCAUGCUCGGCCUUCUGGUUAUAAGAGCCGCACGCUCGGAUGAGCUAGGCUGUUCGCUCUCGUAAGCUGCGCAGUUCGUACAUCAUGCAGCGAAUAAAAGCCAAGAGCCUUACUGACCGAGCGUACCGCAAGGCUCAGAGAAGAGCGGAGCGGCGGGCAGCCCAGCCGAGACGUGCAAGGCCCUCCAGAUCCACGACUGCAAGCUGGGUGGCGCACUGCGCUUCAUUGCUUUAUUGGAUGACCAUGCCCAUGCGCCUCUGCUAUCUUGCGCUGACGGUGCCAUUCCGCAUCAUCUCGUACGUGGUGCAGACCCUCGCGGCCGUACUUGCAUCCUACCCCCAUUCGUAGGAGAACCAGUGCAUUGAUGACGGCAUUGUUUUUAGUGACCCCGCCUACACCUGGUGCCGAAACGACCGAAGAUAUGGAGAGGGCCCAACGGACCUAAAAAGGACUCUAAAAGGACGAAUUGCAACUUUUUUAGCAAGCACAAAUCGUGCAUUCUUUUAAGCUCUGUACAUUGGCAUCGCGUUACGAAGUCUAUCCAUGUUGUAGACAUGACGCAAUAAACGUAAUUUCGUUGCGAUUUUUAUAAGCGCUAGCGUUUGCUUGCGUACUUUCACCCGGAAUCUUGUCUGAUGGGCUAUCCUGCCUUGCAGCGUUGUACUAACGCAAAGUAGCAUUAAUAAAAACAUUUAAUUUUUUAUUACACAA